UGGUGGGUAGUUUGACUGGGGCGGUCUCCUCCUAAAGAGUAACGGAGGAGCACGAAGGUUGGCUAAUCCUGGUCGGACAUCAGGAGGUUAGUGCAAUGGCAUAAGCCAGCUUGACUGCGAGCGUGACGGCGCGAGCAGGUGCGAAAGCAGGUCAUAGUGAUCCGGUGGUUCUGAAUGGAAGGGCCAUCGCUCAACGGAUAAAAGGUACUCCGGGGAUAACAGGCUGAUACCGCCCAAGAGUUCAUAUCGACGGCGGUGUUUGGCACCUCGAUGUCGGCUCAUCACAUCCUGGGGCUGAAGUAGGUCCCAAGGGUAUGGCUGUUCGCCAUUUAAAGUGGUACGCGAGCUGGGUUUAGAACGUCGUGAGACAGUUCGGUCCCUAUCUGCCGUGGGCGCUGGAGAACUGAGGGGGGCUGCUCCUAGUACGAGAGGACCGGAGUGGACGCAUCACUGGUGUUCGGGUUGUCAUGCCAAUGGCACU
RNAcentral lists this ribosomal RNA (481 nucleotides) under Escherichia coli. RNAcentral describes it as "partial 23S ribosomal RNA". It matches the Rfam family "Bacterial large subunit ribosomal RNA", at positions 2259 to 2739 of the family's 2925-position model. The record is from RNAcentral. RNAcentral also lists the same sequence under 33 other names. Lineage: Bacteria; Pseudomonadati; Pseudomonadota; Gammaproteobacteria; Enterobacterales; Enterobacteriaceae.